GGGCCCGCACAAGCGGUGGAGUAUGUGGUUUAAUUCGAUGCAACGCGAAGAACCUUACCAGGGUUUGACAUCCUGCGAAUCUCUUGGAAACAGGAGAGUGCCUUCGGGAACGCAGUGACAGGUGGUGCAUGGCUGUCGUCAGCUCGUGUCGUGAGAUGUUGGGUUAAGUCCCGCAACGAGCGCAACCCACGUCUUUAGUUGCCAGCGGUUCGGCCGGGGACUCUAUGGAAACUGCCCGUGAUAAGCGGGAGGAAGGUGUGGAUGACGUCAAGUCCUCAUGGCCCUUACGGGUUGGGCUACACACGUGCUACAAUGGCAUCUACAGUGGGUUAAUCCCCAAAAGAUGUCU
This 349-nucleotide ribosomal RNA is filed under the name uncultured bacterium. Its description in RNAcentral is "bacterial SSU rRNA". It matches the Rfam family "Bacterial small subunit ribosomal RNA", at positions 917 to 1288 of the family's 1533-position model. The record is from RNAcentral.